Molecule: ribosomal RNA, 408 nt
Filed under: uncultured microorganism
Description: bacterial SSU rRNA
Rfam family: Archaeal small subunit ribosomal RNA
Source: RNAcentral
GUGCAGCAGUCGCGAAAACUUCACAAUGUGCGAAAGCACGAUGAGGGAAUCCCAAGUGCUUGCACGUAAGUGUAAGCUGUUUCUCUGUCUAAAACGCAGAGAGAGUAAGGGCUGGGUAAGACGGGUGCCAGCCGCCGCGGUAAUACCUGCAGCUCGAGUGGUGACCGUUAUUAUUGGGCCUAAAACGUCCGUAGCCGGUUUAAUAAAUGCCUGGGUAAAUCGGACCGCUUAACGGUUCGAAUUCCGGGUAGACUGUUAAACUUGAGACCGGGAGAAGUUAGAGGUACUCCUGGGGUAGAGGUGAAAUUCUGUAAUCCUAGGGGGACCACCAGUGGCGAAGGCGUCUAACUAGAACGGGUCUGACGGUGAGGGACGAAGCCCUGGGGCGCAAACGGGAUUAGAUACCCG